Molecule: ribosomal RNA, 638 nt
Filed under: Clinotanypus crux
Lineage: Eukaryota; Metazoa; Arthropoda; Insecta; Diptera; Chironomidae
Description: partial large subunit ribosomal RNA
Rfam family: Eukaryotic large subunit ribosomal RNA (bases 346-638)
Source: RNAcentral
UUCAAUAUUAUAUAUAAUUAAUUUAUAUAUAAUGUGCACUUCUUUUUAUAAUAAGACGUUGUGAUCCAUUAGGAAUUGAUUGUUCCAUAUGUUAACAAUUAUUAGGUUACCAAUAGUUUAAUAUUGAAGUUCAUAAUUUUAAAUAAUAAAAUUGUUUAACAAUUAUAUACAUUAUAUUAUGAGCAUAUUAUAUACUGGUGUAACUGCCUGAUGGAUUUUAAAGGUCAUAAUAUUAAUAUAAAUUUAUUUAUAUUACUACUAUUCUAUUUGGAAUAGUUAUAAAUUAUGUACCCGAUCAACAACGGUUUCAUUUGGGAUACCUUUGGGACCCGUCUUGAAACACGGACCAAGGAGUCUAUCUAGUGUGCAAGUAAAUGGGAUUAUUAUUAUAAACCUAUUUGCGUAAAUAACUUGACUGUUAUAUUAAAAAUGGGAUUACAAGUUUUUAUUAAAUACAAAUAAGAAUUUCUCCAUCCCGGGGUAUUUUUAUAAUAUAUAAUGAUUGUUAUAGAUUAUUAUAUAAAAAAUAUACCAUGAGCAUACUGGAUAUGACCCGAAAGAUGGUGAACUAUGCCUGAUCAGGUUGAAGUCAGGGGAAACCCUGAUGGAGGACCGAAGCAAUUCUGACGUGCAAAUCG